AUGACGCCCAACUCCACUAAACUCCUUUUGAAAAAGCAGCAUAUUACAUCGUAAUGAAGUUACCUAUCCUGUGAAGUAACUCAAACUCCUUUUAAAAAAUAAUAAAUUACAUUGCGAGGACUCAAACUCCUUUAAAAAAAAUUACAUUACAUCAUUAUGAAGUUCUCUUUCCUGCGAGGUAACUCGUACUUCACAACCAAAACUUGGGCCAGUAAUGGCAUUUCUUCCUAUCAUCUGUAUGACAAAUUACCAUAAAAAUGAUGCCACCUACUUUUCUUAAGGACACUAGUUCGUGUUCACAAUGGACACUUAACUGUUUUCUAUGGAUAUGUAGCUCUGAGCGGGUGAGCAAGGGCACAGAAGACCUCCCGCGCCAAAAUUGUUAUUUCAAUUGCUUGGGUGAGGGGCAGCACCAUUCAGAUUCAGUCCUCGUACACAUUAUGACUUCUCAUUCCCUGUAAAAUAAUGGCAUACCAGAAUUAAGUUAUUCAUUAAGGAAAGAACUAAUAAAGAGAAUAAAAGAAAUUAGUAAUAUA
Molecule: long non-coding RNA, 536 nt
Filed under: Nicotiana benthamiana
Lineage: Eukaryota; Viridiplantae; Streptophyta; Magnoliopsida; Solanales; Solanaceae
Description: long non-coding RNA (NBEN_LNC002369)
Source: RNAcentral